CCUACGGGUGGCUGCAGUCGAGAAUCUUCCGCAAUGGGCGAAAGCCUGACGGAGCGACGCCGCGUGGAGGAUGAAGGCCUUCGGGUUGUAAACUCCUGUCACUCGUUAUGAAACCCAACGCGUUAAUUGCGCGUUGGCUGACCAAGGCGAGAGAGGAAGCACCGGCUAACCCUGUGCCAGCAGCCGCGGUAAGACAGGGGGUGCAAACGUUGCUCGGAAUCACUGGGCGUAAAGCGCACGUAGGCGGUCUUGUAAGUCAGAUGUGAAAGCCCUCG
RNAcentral lists this ribosomal RNA (275 nucleotides) under uncultured bacterium. Its description in RNAcentral is "partial 16S ribosomal RNA". It matches the Rfam family "Bacterial small subunit ribosomal RNA", at positions 338 to 606 of the family's 1533-position model. The record is from RNAcentral.